Molecule: ribosomal RNA, 247 nt
Filed under: uncultured bacterium
Lineage: Bacteria
Description: partial 16S ribosomal RNA
Rfam family: Bacterial small subunit ribosomal RNA
Source: RNAcentral
GACAGAGGUGCCGAGCGUUAGGCGGAAUCACUGGGCUUAAAGCGUGUGUAGGCGGACCGUUAAGUACCUUGUGAAAUCCCCCCGGCUCAACCGGGGAACGGCUGGGUAUACUGGCGGUCUUGAGCCAUCCAGGGGCAGUCGGAACAGACGGUGGAGCGGUGAAAUGCGUAGAUAUCGUCUGGAACGCCGAAGGUGAAAACAGACUGCUGGGGAUGCGCUGACGCUGAGACACGAAAGCCAGGGAGAG